This is a small nucleolar RNA of Arvicanthis niloticus (Nile rat), 143 nucleotides long. RefSeq annotates it as small nucleolar RNA SNORA48. The record is from RefSeq and is a predicted model, not a curated record. Lineage: Eukaryota; Metazoa; Chordata; Mammalia; Rodentia; Muridae.
UACCCACCUGGCAAUGGGUAAUGAGACACCUUGUCAGUGGUGUUCCUAUAUCAGUCAGGGACAGAGCAGAUGGCAGUCCUUUGUUCAUCCUAGCUUGAUGCCUGGCUUGGUGGCAAAAGCUGUUUUAUGUCUAGGACUCAUAA